UCAGGACGAACGCUGGCGGCGUGCCUAACACAUGCAAGUCGAGCGAGUGGAGUUCUUCGGAACAAAGCUAGCGGCGGACGGGUGAGUAACACGUGGGCAACCUGCCUCAUAGAGGGGAAUAGCCUCCCGAAAGGGAGAUUAAUACCGCAUAAGAUUGUAACUUCGCAUGAAGUAGCAAUUAAAGGAGCAAUCCGCUAUGAGAUGGGCCCGCGGCGCAUUAGCUAGUUGGUGAGGUAACGGCUCACCAAGGCGUCGAUGCGUAGCCGACCUGAGAGGGUGAUCGGCCACAUUGGGACUGAGACACGGCCCAGACUCCUACGGGAGGCAGCAGUGGGGAAUAUUGCACAAUGGGGGAAACCCUGAUGCAGCAACGCCGCGUGAGUGAUGACGGCCUUCGGGUUGUAAAGCUCUGUCUUCAGGGACGAUAAUGACGGUACCUGAGGAGGAAGCCACGGCUAACUACGUGCCAGCAGCCGCGGUAAUACGUAGGUGGCGAGCGUUGUCCGGAUUUACUGGGCGUAAAGGGAAUAGUAGGCGGAAUUUUAACUGGAAAGUGAAAUACCCCGGGCUUCACUCUGGGUGCUGCCUUUUUAACUGGNNGUCUNGNGUGCCGGNGNGGNGNNUGGNNUUCCUNGUGUUAGCGGGGAAAGGGGUGGAGAUUUGGAGGAACACCCCCGGGGAAGGGGAUUUUUUGGACUGUAACUACCGCUGAGGCUCGAAAGCGUGGGGGAGCAAACAGGAUUAGUUACCCUGGUAGUCCACCCCGUAAACGAUGAAUACUAGGUGUAGGGGUUGUCAUGACCUCUGUGCCGCCGCUAACGCAUUAAGUAUUCCGCCUGGGGAGUACGGUCGCAAGAUUAAAACUCAAAGGAAUUGACGGGGGCCCGCACAAGCAGCGGAGCAUGUGGUUUAAUUCGAAGCGACGCGAAGAACCUUACCUAGACUUGACAUCUCCUGCAUUACCCUUAAUCGGGGAAGUUCCUUCGGGGACAGGAAGACAGGUGGUGCAUGGUUGUCGUCAGCUCGUGUCGUGAGAUGUUGGGUUAAGUCCCGCAGCGAGCGCAACCCUUAUUGUUAGUUGCUACCAUUUAGUUGAGCACUCUAGCGAGACUGCCCGGGUUAACCGGGAGGAAGGUGGUGAUGACGUCAAAUCAUCAUGCCCCUUAUGUCUAGGGCUACACACGUGCUACAGUGGCAAGUACAAAGAGAAGCAAGACCGCGAGGUGGAGCAAAACUCAAAAACUUGUCUCAGUUCGGAUUGUAGGCUGAAACUCGCCUACAUGAAGCUGGAGUUGCUAGUAAUCGCGAAUCAGCAUGUCGCG
Molecule: ribosomal RNA, 1322 nt
Filed under: uncultured bacterium
Lineage: Bacteria
Description: bacterial SSU rRNA
Rfam family: Bacterial small subunit ribosomal RNA
Source: RNAcentral